CUUGGUCAUUUAGAGGAAGUAAAAGUCGUAACAAGGUUUCCGUAGGUGAACCUGCGGAAGGAUCAUUCAUAAUAAGUGUUUUAUGGCACUUUUUAAAUCCAUAUCCACCUUGUGUGCAAUGUCAGUCGAUCUUCUUCAUGGAGAUCGACCAAACAUCAACCUUUAUCCUUUAACUCUUUGUCUGAAAAAUAUUAUGAAUAAACAAUUCAAAAUACAACUUUCAACAACGGAUCUCUUGGCUCUCGCAUCGAUGAAGAACGCAGCGAAAUGCGAUACGUAAUGUGAAUUGCAGAAUUCAGUGAAUCAUCGAAUCUUUGAACGCAUAUUGCGCUCUUUGGUAUUCCGAAGAGCAUGCUUGUUUGAGUAUCAGUAAACACCUCAAAGCUUUUGGAUUUUUUAAUCGAAAAGCUUUGGACUUGAGCAAUCCCAACACCAAUCUUUUUGAGAUCGGUGGCGGGUUGCUUGAAAUGCAGGUGCAGCUGGACAUUCUCCUGAGCUAAAAGCAUAUUCAUUUAGUCCCGUCAAACGGAUUAUUACUUUUGCUGCAGCUAACAUAAAGGGAGUUUGACCGUAUUGGCUGACUGAUGCAGGAGUUCACAAGGGUCGGCAACGAUUCUUGUUAAACUCGAUCUCAAAUCAAGUAAGACUACCCGCUGAACUUAAGCAUAUCAAUAAGCGGAGGA
This 683-nucleotide ribosomal RNA is filed under the name uncultured fungus. RNAcentral's name for it is "eukaryotic LSU rRNA". The stretch from base 216 to 369 matches the Rfam family "5.8S ribosomal RNA". Lineage: Eukaryota; Fungi. The record is from RNAcentral.